Molecule: transfer RNA, 71 nt
Filed under: Ovis aries (sheep)
Lineage: Eukaryota; Metazoa; Chordata; Mammalia; Artiodactyla; Bovidae
Rfam family: tRNA
About the family: Transfer RNA (tRNA) molecules are approximately 80 nucleotides in length. Their secondary structure includes four short double-helical elements and three loops (D, anti-codon, and T loops).
Source: Rfam by way of RNAcentral
UCCCAGGUGGCUCAGUGGUAAAGAAUCUGCCUGCCAGGCAGGAGACUCAGGUUCGAUCCCUGGGUGGGGAA